Molecule: long non-coding RNA, 1326 nt
Organism: Rosa chinensis
Lineage: Eukaryota; Viridiplantae; Streptophyta; Magnoliopsida; Rosales; Rosaceae
Exons: 7
Source: RefSeq, a predicted model, not a curated record
AGGUACAUAGAUUUUCAAAUUGCAAAAGCGUAUGGAAGGGCAAACAGUCCUUAUAGACCUUUAUGGCUGCAUCAAAGCAGUUGUACCACAUCAUGAUGUGUUCGUUAGAAGCAAAAACAAAAUGGAAACAAAAUGUGAAAUCACUUUGGAAAAUAUGAGUAGAGAAGAUGUGAAGAUAACUCUUUGGGGGAUACUACAAGAGAGUUCGAUCUGGAUGCAAUUUACAAUUUGCCUCCACCAGUACUAGCAAACAACCAACUCCAUCGAGCACAAAUCACAGCUGCAUAAUCAUUGAUCCAGACAUUGGCCAAAGAGAAGACUACGAGGAAGAAUUCUCAAAAGCAGGGGAUAAGCGGAAGUUGCUACCAACUCCAUCCAAGCAACCACUCCACCAAGAAGCCAAAGAUCAUGCAAAAAAAACAGCGUCACGGCUCAAUACCGUUAAUCUGCAUGAAUACCAGGUACAAACAAGAUUUGUUUUUCCUCCAACUUUAUUGUUUUGCUUCAACAUGCUUUAUAAAUGCAGCUAUAUUUUAAGACUGUACACAUUGCAACAACAAGCGCUUUACUGCAAUGCAUGGAUUUGUAGAUUUCCUACAUACAACAGUUGUUGGUGGUACAAAGGUUGCCUGACCUGCCGCAAGGAACUCAAGCAAAAAGAAGAUACUAAUCAGCUCAGCUGUAGUCGUCAUAACGUACAAACGCCUCUCCCAUGUUACAGAGUAUACAUGACAAUUGAGAAUGAUACAAACCAAGCAACAGUUGUGCUCAUGAGAAGACAGGCUGAACAGUUAUUUGGCAGCAAAUGUCAGGACUUGGUCAACAACAGCAUGUAUUCAACCAAACAAACAGUUCCAAAGGAAAUUCAGAGAACAAUUGGUGAAAACUACCUGACCCAGAAGAAGUGAUUGUCAGUAACAUUUUUCCAGCUACACAAGUUUCCCUGCCAUAAACAGAAGAACCAGGAACUGCAACACCAGAUCGUCCCCUCACUAAAGAAAAAAAAGAUCAAUUGAGGCAAGCAAAAGGACAUUAUUCAUUUCUGACCCAGAGAAGAAAAUCAGGAGGGAACCAGAACAAGGAAGCGCCACUUCAUCAUCACUGGCAAAAGAAGAACAUAACAAGGAAAACGAGCAGUAAACAUGCAUCACUCUUUUGUACAUAUGUAACUAACAAGUAGAAAAUGCAUUGACUACAAAUUUUGGUAUAACUGUAGUCAACUAAUCAACUGAAGCAUUUUGUACACUGGAAUAACCAAUUUUUGAAACAGCUUCCAGUAUAACCUUUUGUAAACAAACUUCAGUUGAUUCAACAGCUAUAACUAAA